Long non-coding RNA from Salvelinus sp. IW2-2015, 224 nucleotides. RefSeq lists it as uncharacterized. The record is from RefSeq and is a predicted model, not a curated record. NCBI's taxonomy places the organism in Eukaryota, Metazoa, Chordata, Actinopteri, Salmoniformes, Salmonidae.
CAAGAGACACACAGAAACCUUUUUGCCCUUCCUUGAGAAGUCAAUUUAGAGAGUCGGAGAGAUAUGGCCUCACCAAAGACAGUUUGGUACUUUAGUGUCCUCUUGGUAUUUUGCUGUAGUCUGGAAAAACAAGAUUGCUUGGAAACUCCAAAUGUAACAUCAGAGGAAUCACCCACUGAUGGAUCGCAAGUUCCUUCUGGAGAAAAGCAAGAGGGUGAGUCAGC